Molecule: ribosomal RNA, 861 nt
Filed under: Berkeleyomyces basicola
Lineage: Eukaryota; Fungi; Ascomycota; Sordariomycetes; Microascales; Ceratocystidaceae
Description: partial large subunit ribosomal RNA
Rfam family: Eukaryotic large subunit ribosomal RNA
Source: RNAcentral
GAAAAGAAACCAACAGGGAUUGCCCUAGUAACGGCGAGCGAAGCGGCAACAGCUCAAAUUUGAAAUCUGGCUAUUUUGUAGUCCGAGUUGUAAUUUGUAGAGGAUGCUUUUGGUGAGGUGCCUUCCGAGUUCCCUGGAACGGGACGCCAGAGAGGGUGAGAGCCCCGUACGGUUGGAUACCAAACCUUUGUAUAGCUCCUUCGACGAGUCGAGUAGUUUGGGAAUGCUGCUCUAAAUGGGAGGUAUAUCUCUUCUAAAGCUAAAUAUAGGCUAGAGACCGAUAGCGCACAAGUAGAGUGAUCGAAAGAUGAAAAGCACUUUGAAAAGAGAGUUAAACAGCACGUGAAAUUGUUGAAAGGGAAGCGCCUAUGACCAGACUUGUUUCUUUCAGUUUUGUUAGUUUUCGGACUGAUUUACUCUGUUAGUACAGGCCAGCAUCAGUUUGUUGUCAGGGAGAAAGGCUUAGGGAAUGUGGCUCUUUCGGGAGUGUUAUAGCCCUUUGCAUAAUACCUUUCGGCAGACUGAGGACCGCGCUUCGGCAAGGAUGCUGGCGUAAUGGUCAUCAGCGACCCGUCUUGAAACACGGACCAAGGAGUCAACCUUAUGUGCGAGUGUUUGGGUGUAAAACCCCAGCGCGUAAUGAACGUGAACGUAGGUGAGAGCUUCGGCGCAUCAUCGACCGAUUCUGAUGUUCUCGGAUGGAUUUGAGUAAGAGCACACAGGGUUGGACCCGAAAGAAGGUGAACUAUGCUUGUAUAGGGUGAAGCCAGAGGAAACUCUGGUGGAGGCUCGCAGCGGUUCUGACGUGCAAAUCGAUCGUCAAAUAUGAGCAUGGGGGCGAAAGACUAAUCGACCUUCUAG